RNAcentral lists this ribosomal RNA (431 nucleotides) under uncultured bacterium. Its description in RNAcentral is "partial 16S ribosomal RNA". It matches the Rfam family "Bacterial small subunit ribosomal RNA", at positions 29 to 505 of the family's 1533-position model. The record is from RNAcentral.
AACGAACGCUGGCGGCAGGCCUAACACAUGCAAGUCGAGCGGACCCUUCGGGGUUAGCGGCGGACGGGUGAGUAACGCGUGGGAAUAUGCCCUUCUCUACGGAAUAGUCCUGGGAAACUGGGGGUAAUACCGUAUACGCCCUUUGGGGGAAAGAUUUAUCGGGGAAGGAUUAGCCCGCGUUGGAUUAGGUAGUUGGUGGGGUAAUGGCCUACCAAGCCGACGAUCCAUAGCUGGUUUGAGAGGAUGAUCAGCCACACUGGGACUGAGACACGGCCCAGACUCCUACGGGAGGCAGCAGUGGGGAAUCUUAGACAAUGGGGGCAACCCUGAUCUAGCCAUGCCGCGUGAGUGAUGAAGGCCUUAGGGUUGUAAAGCUCUUUCAGCUGGGAAGAUAAUGACGGUACCAGCAGAAGAAGCCCCGGCUAACUCCG